This 216-nucleotide ribosomal RNA is filed under the name Glomeromycotina sp. RNAcentral's name for it is "partial small subunit ribosomal RNA". The stretch from base 40 to 216 matches the Rfam family "Eukaryotic small subunit ribosomal RNA", at positions 686 to 864 of the family's 1831-position model. The record is from RNAcentral. Lineage: Eukaryota; Fungi; Glomeromycota.
GGGUCAGUAGGUUGGUCGUGCCACCGGUACGUACUGGUCUCACUGAUUCCUCCUUCCUGAAGAACCGUAAUGCCAUUAAUUUGUUGUUUCGGGGAAACAGGACUGUUACUUUGAAAAAAUUAGAGUGUUUAAAGCAUGCUAACGCUUGAAUACAUUAGCAUGGAAUAAUGAAAUAGGACGAUCGAUCCUAUUUUGUUGGUUUCUAGGAUUGACGUA